This 1159-nucleotide ribosomal RNA is filed under the name Damalinia meyeri sika. RNAcentral's name for it is "large subunit ribosomal RNA". It matches the Rfam family "Bacterial large subunit ribosomal RNA", at positions 560 to 2730 of the family's 2925-position model. The record is from RNAcentral. Lineage: Eukaryota; Metazoa; Arthropoda; Insecta; Psocodea; Bovicoliidae.
ACUUUGAUAUCCUGUAUACAUUCGUAUUGGUAUUUAUAUUUGAAAGAUGAACAUUCUGCUAGAGUAUCAAAUAGGAUUAUUGCAUGUCUCAAUUAUUGGGAUCCUCGGACACAAACAAACAACAGUAGUGGUGUUUACGUACCUUUGGUAUCAGGGCAUAAGGAGCUAGCACCCAGAUUGACAUUUCCCGAAAGGUAGGGAGCUCUCUGUUUACUCUUUCUUUCGUUACAAUGACAGAUGAAAUAAACAGCCAGAGUGGGGAAAUCCCAUUCAUACUACCAGAUAACUGGUUCCCCUUUGAAAACGCUAACCGUUAAUUCAAACCAUCCCUUGGGGAUAAGCUCGAGGGAAUUGGAGGGUCGGAGUCUAAUAGAGAACAAACCACUUUGAUAGUUUGAUUUCUGAAAGAACCUCCUGAGUAUUGAGGAUAGGGGGGCUUAGAUGUUAAUGUGACAACAAAGCUCACAAUCUUACGAUUAGUAUUCAGCGGAUACCGUUUUUAACGAACUCGGCAAAAAUGAAGUCGGACUGUUUAUUAAAAACAUUUCCUGAAGUCUUGUAUUCCAGGUAUGACCUGCCCAAUGCCUAUAUGGUCAAUGGCUGCAGCGUUCAACUGUACAAAGGUAGCAAAAGUCAUUAGCCUCUUGAUUGGAGGAUAGCGUGAAUGGUCGAACCAGACUUCAACUGUUUCAAAAACGAAUGAAGAAUUUGGGUUUCAGGUAAGAACACCUGAGUGCCUCGGUGGGACGAGAAGACCCUGUAGAUUUUUACCCUAAGCUUUUAGUUUAAAACUUACGUUACAAGCUAAGAUUUAGGGUUUACCUGGGAAGGGGGAGAUAACAACUUCCAACUAUGAAGACUAACAAGUCGAUUAUUGAUCCCCAAUAUGGGAUAAUGGGAACAAAAUACCUCAGGGGUAACAGCAUAAUCCCUUCCUACCGAUCUCAGGUAGUGAUGGUGUUUGUGACCUCGAUGUUGAAUUGGGGUUACUUCGGGAUGCAGAAGACCCAGAAGUGAGUCUGUUCGACUCUUAAAUCCCCACGUGAUCUGAGUUCAGACCGACGUGAGUCAGGUCAGAUUCUAUCUACCGGUACAAAUUUCCCUCUCGGUACGAAAGGAUAGGAGGGAAGGCUAAACAAAGCCUAAGAAUUUUCACAUC